Molecule: ribosomal RNA, 484 nt
Filed under: uncultured bacterium
Lineage: Bacteria
Description: bacterial SSU rRNA
Rfam family: Bacterial small subunit ribosomal RNA
Source: RNAcentral
AUUGAACGCUGGCGGCAGGCCUAACACAUGCAAGUCGAGCGGAUGAAGAGAGCUUGCUUUCUGAUUCAGCGGCGGACGGGUGAGUAAUGCCUAGGAAUCUGCCUGGUAGUGGGGGACAACGUUUCGAAAGGAACGCUAAUACCGCAUACGUCCUACGGGAGAAAGCAGAGGACCUUCGGGCCUUGCGCUAUCAGAUGAGCCUAGGUCGGAUUAGCUAGUUGGUGAGGUAAUGGCUCACCAAGGCGACGAUCCGUAACUGGUCUGAGAGGAUGAUCAGUCACACUGGAACUGAGACACGGUCCAGACUCCUACGGGAGGCAGCAGUGGGGAAUAUUGGACAAUGGGCGAAAGCCUGAUCCAGCCAUGCCGCGUGUGUGAAGAAGGUCUUCGGAUUGUAAAGCACUUUAAGUUGGGAGGAAGGGCAUUAACCUAAUACGUUAGUGUUUUGACGUUACCGACAGAAUAAGCACCGGCUAACUCUGUG